UUCGAAGCAACGCGAAGAACCUUACCAGGCCUUGACAUGCAGAGAACUUUCCAGAGAUGGAUUGGUGCCUUCGGGAACUCUGACACAGGUGCUGCAUGGCUGUCGUCAGCUCGUGUCGCGAGAUGUUGGGUUAAGUCCCGUAACGAGCGCAACCCUUGUCCUUAGUUACCAGCACGUUAUGGUGGGCACUCUAAGGAGACUGCCGGUGACAAACCGGAGGAAGGUGGGGAUGACGUCAAGUCAUCAUGGCCCUUACGGCCUGGGCUACACACGUGCUACAAUGGUCGGUACAAAGGGUUGCCAAGCCGCGAGGUGGAGCUAAUCCCAUAAAACCGAUCGUAGUCCGGAUCGCAGUCUGCAACUCGACUGCGUGAAGUCGGAAUCGCUAGUAAUCGUGAAUCAGAAUGUCACGGUGAAUACGUUCCCGGGCCUU
Molecule: ribosomal RNA, 433 nt
Filed under: uncultured Pseudomonas sp.
Lineage: Bacteria; Pseudomonadati; Pseudomonadota; Gammaproteobacteria; Pseudomonadales; Pseudomonadaceae
Description: bacterial SSU rRNA
Rfam family: Bacterial small subunit ribosomal RNA
Source: RNAcentral